Molecule: ribosomal RNA, 199 nt
Filed under: uncultured bacterium
Lineage: Bacteria
Description: partial 16S ribosomal RNA
Rfam family: Bacterial small subunit ribosomal RNA
Source: RNAcentral
ACGCUCGACACCUACGUGAGGCAGCAGUGGGGAAUAUUGCACAAUGGGGGAAACCCUGAUGCAGCGACGCCGCGUGAGCGAAGAAGUAUUUCGGUAUGUAAAGCUCUAUCAGCAGGGAAGAUCAUGACGGUACCUGACUAAGAAGCUCCGGCUAAAUACGUGCCAGCAGCCGACGGUAAUCUGAGCGGGCUGGCAAGGC